AAUGCUUUGUAAUUGGAAUGAUAGAAAUUUAAAUACUUUUUAAAGUAUCAAUUGGAGGGCAAGUCUGGUGCCAGCAGCCGCGGUAAUUCCAGCUCCAAUAGCGUAUAUUAAAAUUGUUGCAGUUAAAAAGCUCGUAGUUGAAUUUUUGCUAAAAAUAACCGGUCUGCUUUUAUUAAUAAAAGUGGUAUCUUGGUGUGUUUUUAGCAAUAAUGUCCUUUGAAAUGUUUUUUACUUUAUUGUAAAAAGCAAUUUUCAGGAUUUUUACUUUGAGAAAAUUAGAGUGUUUCAAGCAGGCUAACGUUUUGAAUACUGCAGCAUGGAAUAAUAAAAUAGGAUUUUAGUUCUACGUUAUUGGUUUUAAGAACUGAAUUAAUGAUUGAUAGGAGCAGUUGGGGGCAUUUGUAUUUAACUGUCAGAGGUGAAAUUCUUAGAUUUGUUAAAGACACACUACUGCGAAAGCAUUUGCCAAAGAUGUUUUCAUUAAUCAA
Molecule: ribosomal RNA, 488 nt
Filed under: Hepatozoon sp. WfM
Lineage: Eukaryota; Apicomplexa; Hepatozoidae
Description: partial 18S ribosomal RNA
Rfam family: Eukaryotic small subunit ribosomal RNA
Source: RNAcentral